UGCCAGCAGCCGCGGUAAUACGGAGGGUGCAAGCGUUGUUCGGAAUCACUGGGCGUAAAGAGCACGUAGGCGGUAAGAUAAGUUAAGGGUUAAAUCCCCGAGCUCAACUCGGGAAAGUCUCUUAAAACUGUUUUACUGGAGUAUAUCAGAGGCAGGCAGAAUUCCAGGUGUAGAGGUGAAAUUCGUAGAUAUCUGGAGGAAUACCGGCGGCGAAGGCGGCCUGCUGGGAUGUUACUGACGCUGAGGUGCGAAAGCAUGGGUAGCAAACGGGAUUAGAUA
Molecule: ribosomal RNA, 279 nt
Filed under: uncultured bacterium
Lineage: Bacteria
Description: partial 16S ribosomal RNA
Rfam family: Bacterial small subunit ribosomal RNA
Source: RNAcentral